AGGUUCUUCUCUUGAUCUCUAGCGUAGAGAUCAAUAUCCUCCUACUUUUUCUUUUUCUCUAAGAUUGUCUUGAGAGAAAAAAAGAUUUUCAACUGUCAAGAUGUGAUCUUUGCAAGGAAGCUAACAGUCUGAUGAGAUCAAAAAGCUUCUGAUUAGAUUAGAGCCUCGUGUGGAUAUCCAUAAAGGUCGGAUGCUUGUGCGGCUACAAGAAACCUUCGAAAAACAUCCAUGAUCAUCAGUUUGCGGUAA
RNAcentral lists this long non-coding RNA (249 nucleotides) under Elaeis guineensis (African oil palm). Its description in RNAcentral is "long non-coding RNA (EGUI_LNC081912)". The record is from RNAcentral. Lineage: Eukaryota; Viridiplantae; Streptophyta; Magnoliopsida; Arecales; Arecaceae.